RNAcentral lists this unclassified non-coding RNA (369 nucleotides) under Hevea brasiliensis (rubber tree). The record is from RNAcentral. Lineage: Eukaryota; Viridiplantae; Streptophyta; Magnoliopsida; Malpighiales; Euphorbiaceae.
GUGAAAGCCCUCAAAAAUUCUAAAUCUAGGACAUUGACAACAUCGCCGACUUUAAAUUCAGAUUCUGAAAUUGGGUCUUCUUUGGACGACAAUAUGAUUAAUUCUUCCUCUUCGGAAUCUGAAGCCGAAUUUCAGGGAAACAACACAAAAUUGACAUUGUUUGAACCUCGACAAAGCCAAACCCAAAAAAAAAAGCAGCCCAUUAUAUCAGAUUCCAGUAGUUCUCCAGAUCAUGUAAUGGGAGAUACAGGUAACCCUCCGGGUGCGGGAAAACAUACACCUCCAAAGGACUUCGUUUGUCCCAUAACAAGCCAUCUGUUUGAUGAUCCAGUAACUCUUGAGACAGGGCAGACAUAUGAACGAAAGGCA